Molecule: long non-coding RNA, 793 nt
Filed under: Salmo salar (Atlantic salmon)
Lineage: Eukaryota; Metazoa; Chordata; Actinopteri; Salmoniformes; Salmonidae
Description: lncRNA (ENSSSAG00000091351.1, ENSSSAG00020046445.1)
Source: RNAcentral
AGCGGGAGUAGAUGUGACAGUUACUCAUCACAUGAGCGUGGUUCACCUAACCACUUACAUUACAUAGGUUAACUAAGUAAAACUGCACAAAUGUUUCUUUCUAAAUCCAGCUUUGGAGGCCAAACUGUGUACCAGAGAGAGGGAGGUGGAGCAGCUGAAGAGAGAUAAUGCAGUCUCAUCACUGCAACACCCCAACGUGCUCGGGAGAGGCAUGACCUGCCAAACCGCGCUACUUAACGCACGCCCACUUAACCCGGAAGCCAGCUGCACCAAUGUCUCAGAGAAAACCCAGUUCAACUGAUGACCAAAGUCAACCUGCUGGCUCCUGGCCCACCACAAGGAGUCAGACAGACCAAAAGUUUCCUUCUCUGCUGCUUUGACUCAUUCAGGAGGGGUAGGACCCUUCAAUACUGACACCACACUGAUCUACAGUAAAGUCUUCACCAACACUGGCAGGGCCUAGAACCCAACUACAGGCAUCUUCACAGCACCAGUGAGAGGAGAUCAUUGCCUUUGAAAACCGCACUGGGAAAGCCAUGGCUGUUUACCUUUACCACAAUGACGAGACGGAUGUUUAAUAAUGACACCAAUGAUCAGUAUUAUGAGUACAUAUCUAAUGCUUUGUCUCUAGAGCUGGAUGAGAGGGAUGGGGUCUACAUGCGUCUCCCUGCAGGCCGUGGACUCUAGGAUAAUAAUAAUAAUAACUUCACUACCUUCAGUGGCUUUCUUCUCUGCCCUAUGUGAAGGCAGCACCAUGCUGUAAUUAUCCUGUUUACAGAUGUGAACAGUUCUG